This 159-nucleotide long non-coding RNA is filed under the name Chinchilla lanigera (long-tailed chinchilla). RNAcentral describes it as "lncRNA (ENSCLAG00000025803.1)". Lineage: Eukaryota; Metazoa; Chordata; Mammalia; Rodentia; Chinchillidae. The record is from RNAcentral.
GCCAGACCAGUGGGGCCACAGGAAGAACAUCCAGCGUUGGCAAGAUGUGUUUGUUCUCAAUUACCUAGUUAAGCUAAGUUAACCAAACCUGUCAAGGGGGAGUACUGAUAAGAAGCUUAGCUCAUGGACAGACAGGAAAGAGGAAGAUGGACGGACGGC